Molecule: ribosomal RNA, 300 nt
Filed under: uncultured Methanocella sp.
Lineage: Archaea; Methanobacteriati; Methanobacteriota; Methanomicrobia; Methanocellales; Methanocellaceae
Description: bacterial SSU rRNA
Rfam family: Bacterial small subunit ribosomal RNA (bases 59-300)
Source: RNAcentral
GGAGAUAAGUGGACGACGGUUGGGAUAAUAGGAUGUGUGCCAGUGUUAAUGGUGAUGGCUAGGCGUAAAGCGUGUGAUGGUGGUUGUUUAAGACAGAGGGGACAGCCCCGGGCUCAACAGUGGAACUGCGUUUGUGACGGCAAAGCUGGGGUGCGGCAGAGGGGGAGGGAAUUCCGGGUGUAGCAGUGAAAUGCGUAGCUAUGCUGAGGAACACCGAUGGCGAAGGCAAUCCCCUGGGCCUGCACUGACGCUCAUGCACGAAAGCGUGGGGAGCAAACAGGAUUAGAUACCCGGGUAGUC